This is a long non-coding RNA of Mus musculus (house mouse), 1055 nucleotides long. RefSeq annotates it as predicted gene, 40674. The record is from RefSeq and is a predicted model, not a curated record. The transcript has 3 exons. Lineage: Eukaryota; Metazoa; Chordata; Mammalia; Rodentia; Muridae.
ACUCCAGUUUCUUCAUGUGUGUGUCCAGUUUCUUCCUGUAAAAUGGGUGUGUUACACUUGCUCCCAAAAUUAUUGCACGACCUUGUGUAUAAGAGAUGAUUACCGGCGUAUUUCUCAGUAAUGGAAGGUGAUUUCAGCCCAUUGUGGUGAUGACGCCUCCUGCUACCUAGUAUGGGAACGGAUGCUCCCCAGGAGGGUCUUGUCCUGUCUGUGGUGUUCCUGCAUUUGUAAGUUGCUGUAGUACUGAUGUUUCCCCAGAUCUUUGAACAUGAACCCAGGUAUGUUUGUUUGUUUGUUUGUUUUUAAAUUCCAGUGAUGUUUGUAGUUUGUCCACAUAUUGUCCACAUAAUGGCUUUUCAGAGUGAUGAGUGUUAAUGAGUGUGUGCCCAGGCAGUGAAGUCCUUGGAUCAAAGGCACACACACCAAUGAAACCACCUGGGCAUGAGGAUCCCCUUAGUGUGGACAAGCUGGGGCACCAGCUCUUUGGAAUGGGAAGACCCGGGUCCUUGCCCUUAGAGGUAGGUGUCCUUGGGCGUGAGGCCCUUAUCUUCUGAGUCAUGAGUAGUUUCCCAAUGAAGAAUAUGGGUGGGGCUGCUGAAGGGGUGGUUCCAGGCCUUAGAAGAUUUGCCUGAAGGUCAGAGUGUAGGCUGCUCACACUAUAAGGCAUCACCCCCACAUCGUGUGUUCUGGAAGAUUCUGGACUUACAGCUUUACCUACAUGUCCCCUCCUGCCUACCCCAGAGUGGAACAUACGAGAGAUGCCCCCACCCCCAGCUCCAGCUGGCCAUGAGAAACAGAGGCUCUGCAAGGCUCAGUGACUUUCCCAAGAACACAGAUGGCUGGCACAGGACUCAGGUCCCCUGAGUGGGGACACUAUAGGACACCAGCAUUUAUACGGGUUCCCUUUCCACCAGUACCUUGGUUCCUGGCGUCCCUGGCUCACCCUGUGUGGGAAAGAAGGCGGCAGUGAAGAAAAGACAAAGCAGAACCAAGGGCCCUCUGCUUUCCAGGAGGGCCACUUCCUCUGCUUAGGGGACACCCCAGGGCAGAGGCUC